RNAcentral lists this ribosomal RNA (497 nucleotides) under uncultured bacterium. RNAcentral describes it as "partial 16S ribosomal RNA". It matches the Rfam family "Bacterial small subunit ribosomal RNA", at positions 28 to 507 of the family's 1533-position model. The record is from RNAcentral.
GAUGAACGCUGGCGGCGUGCCUAAUACAUGCAAGUCGAGCGAACAGACGAGGAGCUUGCUCCUCUGACGUUAGCGGCGGACGGGUGAGUAACACGUGGAUAACCUACCUAUAAGACUGGGAUAACUUCGGGAAACCGGAGCUAAUACCGGAUAAUAUAUUGAACCGCAUGGUUCAAUAGUGAAAGACGGUUUUGCUGUCACUUAUAGAUGGAUCCGCGCCGCAUUAGCUAGUUGGUAAGGUAACGGCUUACCAAGGCAACGAUGGGUAGCCGACCUGAGAGGGUGAUCGGCCACACUGGAACUGAGACACGGUCCAGACUCCUACGGGAGGCAGCAGUAGGGAAUCUUCCGCAAUGGGCGAAAGCCUGACGGAGCAACGCCGCGUGAGUGAUGAAGGUCUUCGGAUCGUAAAACUCUGUUAUUAGGGAAGAACAAAUGUGUAAGUAACUAUGCACGUCUUGACGGUACCUAAUCAGAAAGCCACGGCUAACUACGUG